UUGUUCUUUAGAAUUUUAAAGUAUCUUCAAAUCUCAGAAAUCCACGACACAGCUUUAAAGGUCAAGAAGUAGCUGACAUUUCCAUUUCACUCUUGAGCAGUAUUAAAAAUCUAACCUAAAUACUUCUUUACUCUUCAAAAAUCACAGGCAAAUGGCUCUCAAACCAAGCAUUUCUGAGCUCACUUGCAGCGUCGUCAUUGUAUAUAGGAAGAAAAGCCAAGACCACAAAACGAAGCAGAGCUGUAACCUAACAAGUCUCCGACGAGCAAAUGACGAUUUUCUGUCUGCUCUGGCUCAGCCCUGGCAGUGAUGAGGAUUACAACUCGCUCUUUGUCAUCAGCACUGUGGUGUUAACGACUAAGAAAUCCUGCAGCUGAAGCACUACUGCAUCCUCCGAUCUGGAUUAACGAAGGUGAGAAAGCGCAGAAAACAAAUAAUAUAAUCUCCCUGAUCAGAGGCACUUCUUUCCUUCCAGUAUUAUGAGGUUCGAUUUACUCUUCAGUCUCUCAAACUUUGCAGGUGUGCGUCAUUAAGAUAACCAA
Molecule: long non-coding RNA, 542 nt
Organism: Nyctereutes procyonoides (raccoon dog)
Lineage: Eukaryota; Metazoa; Chordata; Mammalia; Carnivora; Canidae
Exons: 3
Source: RefSeq, a predicted model, not a curated record